Molecule: long non-coding RNA, 556 nt
Filed under: Mytilus galloprovincialis (Mediterranean mussel)
Lineage: Eukaryota; Metazoa; Mollusca; Bivalvia; Mytilida; Mytilidae
Source: RNAcentral
GUCUGGUGCAACGUACGAUUUUCCAUUCACUUUGCGGCAAAUAACACAUUUGCUGAGUAAUUUCUGUGCAUACUCUCGAAUAGUUGGUAUCCAAAACGUUUGUCUUAUAUAGCUGACUGUAGCAUGCAUUCUACUAUAAAGUAAUUGUUCGUGUGAGUCCAACACAAUGAGCAUAGUUAACGGAUUUGCUGGUAUAAGUUACGGAAAAUUUACUGAUUCUGGAAGUGAUGCGUUGUGUAUUCUCUCGUUACAUCUGAUGAGACCGGAUUCGUCUUAGAAAAGUCCUGAUUGUCGGACUCUCGUUACUUUAUUUGUGUUUUCUGCGUUGUGUCAUGUGUACUAUUGUUUGUCUGUAUGUAUUUUUUUCAUUUUUAGCCAUGGCGUUGUCAGUUUAUUUUCGAUUUAUGAGUUUGACUGUUCCUUUGGUAUCUUUCGUCCUCUUUUACAGUGUACAAAUUUAAGUCAACGUCCCUUCAUUACAUAGGCUAAAAUUUAAUUACCUAACCUGAAUAACCUUCUAUAUUGUUAGUUUCUUUUCUACUGAAUAAACGAUUAC